RNAcentral lists this transfer RNA (73 nucleotides) under Trichonephila inaurata madagascariensis. It matches the Rfam family "tRNA". Rfam says of the family: Transfer RNA (tRNA) molecules are approximately 80 nucleotides in length. The record is from Rfam by way of RNAcentral. Lineage: Eukaryota; Metazoa; Arthropoda; Arachnida; Araneae; Nephilidae.
GUCCCUGUAGCGCAAUGGAUGGCACAUUGGACUUCUAAUCCAAAAGUCGUAGGCUCGAAUCCUACCUUGGAUG